GUAAUAUUAUUUUCAGAUUCUUCUUUUUAAGUUUUAUAUCAUGUAUAUUACUUCUUUAUUAUGUUUAACCAUGGAAGCUUGAAGAUCGUCAGCCACCAUCCCUACUUUCAAAUGGAUAUCCAAAACAUAGACAAAUUCUCAGAUUAGUCGUCGACAGGUUCAGGAGGUGGUGACGGUGAGAGAUCAGCUGGAGAAGAAAGAGCAAGAUCCAGGAUUGUCGAAUCAGAGUGAAAGGAGACGGAGCGAGAAAUUCGCGACACUUAAGCAGAUGGAUUUAACUUCUUAUGAUCAGAACGAUGCUUGACAAUGAGAUUCAAGGAGAAGAAGCCUUCAGAAACUUCUCUUGCUGAAAGAGAAGAAAAGAAACAGAAAGACCAAGCUAUGCUCUUCCACAAAAACCAAGGUAGUUAAUUGCUCAUAGAGCAAAGUGUGGAAAUUCUUUAUCCGAAAAGAAGAUGACCGUGCACAAUGCAAUAUGUUUCUGUAAAAUUACAGGAACUGAAAGUAACACUAGAAACACGUAUGUGGGCUCUACGUGAGAUUUCUGAGUGUAUCUUGGUUCGUUUAUGUUUUUAAUUCAGCUUGAGUUACAAUAUGUGUUUAUUUAAGACUUUUGGUGCAAGUGAUUUUCUGUUCUCUGUUAUUAUUGUGAUGUGAUCAUCUUUGAUCAAUAAGUUAGCACAAUGUGGGUUUGAAACUUUUUCUGAAUGUAGUGUAAUAUGUUUGAAAUUGAA
This is a long non-coding RNA of Raphanus sativus (radish), 734 nucleotides long. RefSeq lists it as uncharacterized. Lineage: Eukaryota; Viridiplantae; Streptophyta; Magnoliopsida; Brassicales; Brassicaceae. The transcript has 3 exons. The record is from RefSeq and is a predicted model, not a curated record.